This 74-nucleotide transfer RNA is filed under the name Podarcis lilfordi (Lilford's wall lizard). Its description in RNAcentral is "tRNA.Ile". The record is from RNAcentral. Lineage: Eukaryota; Metazoa; Chordata; Lepidosauria; Squamata; Lacertidae.
GCCUGAAUAGCUCAGUUGGUUAGAGCGUGGGGCUGAUAAUGCCAAGGUUUUAAGUUUGAUCCCCAUAUGGGGCA